GCCGGAAUAGCUCACUUGGUAGAGCANAGGACUGAAAAUCCUCGUGUCACCAG
This 53-nucleotide transfer RNA is filed under the name Grimmia funalis. RNAcentral's name for it is "partial transfer RNA-Phe". Lineage: Eukaryota; Viridiplantae; Streptophyta; Bryopsida; Grimmiales; Grimmiaceae. The record is from RNAcentral.